Long non-coding RNA from Entelurus aequoreus (snake pipefish), 959 nucleotides. RefSeq lists it as uncharacterized. The record is from RefSeq and is a predicted model, not a curated record. NCBI's taxonomy places the organism in Eukaryota, Metazoa, Chordata, Actinopteri, Syngnathiformes, Syngnathidae. The transcript is spliced from 5 exons.
CUUCAAUCAGUUUGCUUUCCACCUGACUGAGGUCGGUACGUACGUUGGUGCAGUGGAGGAUGAACAGUUACUUUUUGGGAGUUUUGGGGACAUUUUUGGACGAGAGAAAAGCAUGUUUGGCAGGGAAGGAGCUCACACAUAUCUCCUUUUGUGAUUUCAGCACAGUGCAGGGGAAGCUGAGGUCCCCUUUAAGGCAGCCACCACUGGAACCUAAUAUCUAGUCCAGGAGUCAUAGAGAAUAAUAGUUAACGUUUGCUGUUCUGUGAAGUCUCCCAGAUGCCCUAAAUAUGUCAUGGCGGCACCACCACAUCUCCCCACGGGGCUGGUAUCCUUACCCAUGCUGCACCAGCGAGAGAACGCUCGCCUUCCCUCUCUUUUAACUUGCAGCUGAAGGCCUUUUAUUUCCCAAGGAGUAUUGCUCCACACAUAUGGUCAGGCCUUCUUGCCUUCUGCUUCUGAAUGAUGCAACUUAGGGACUUUGUGUACUCUGCAGAAAGGGAGGUUGCGGGGAGUUAAACAUGUUCCGUACGUCGCUCGCGUUGUGUAUGCAGUAGGGUUGUACGGUAUACCGUUACUAGUAUAGUAUCGCGGUACUAAUGAAUCAAAAACGGUACUAUACUCCGUUUGAAAAGCACCGGUUCCCGAGGAGGAUGAGGAACAUGUUCGGCAGCGCACAAUCACGGAGUACUUACAUGCAGACAGAAAAGUGAGAAUGGACGCAUUUUGGUGUAAAAACCAAAGAUAAAGGUGAACUUAUAACACUGAAACAUCCUCAGGAAGAGGUGCUUUAAGACAUGGCUAGCAGCUAACUUCCAUCCACAGUCGGCAGUGUUUUAACUACUUCUAAAUCACUAAUCCUGGCCUCCAUGGCGACAAAGUAAGUUUCUUAUAAGUAGCAUUAUCACUGGAGGACGAGGAAUAGCUAAACAUGCUUCACUACACACCCUAGGAGGAUACAA